UCCCCUGGAGGCUGGAGUUUCCAGGAUGUCAAAAUUACCUCUGCUUGGGUGAGCUAUUUCAAGCAGCUGGGAUACCUGUGUCACUCCUGCUGUCUGCCAGUGACUGCCCAGGUGUCUGCUGGUUCCUCCCCAGGAGUAGGGAGGAACCAGGUGGGCUGGCUGGGAUGGGUGGAUAUUUAAAGACCAGGCCUUGGACGCUGCAGCACUUCUAUCUCUGCUUGAUGCCUGCUGCCACGUGGCUGGUCCUCCUCCUCCUGCUGUGGCUGAGCCUUGGGGUGAAGACAGGCAGCUGCUCCCAACCCCAGAACCUUUGCUGUCUUGGGACGGAUCACCGCUGCAAGAGGGGAAGUUGCUACUGUGAUGAAUUCUGCCAUGUGGCACCAGACUGCCACCCAGACCACAGUGUCCUCUGCAACCCUGGUAACUCACAUACAGGCCCGAUUCCACCUACAGCAAAGCUGGAUGCGAUGGCUGGCAGAGGCAAACCCUUUGCCUGCACUUCAGGCCAAAGCCGGGAUGUGGCCUAGAUGGUUCCUAAGGUCCCUGACAAUCCUGAGAUCUUGCAUCUUGUCUAUUUCAGGUCAAAGCUUCUCAGAUGACC
This 601-nucleotide long non-coding RNA is filed under the name Homo sapiens (human). RNAcentral's name for it is "non-protein coding lnc-MUC20-67:79". The record is from RNAcentral. Lineage: Eukaryota; Metazoa; Chordata; Mammalia; Primates; Hominidae.